This 208-nucleotide long non-coding RNA is filed under the name Gossypium raimondii (Peruvian cotton). RNAcentral describes it as "long non-coding RNA (GRAI_LNC010292)". Lineage: Eukaryota; Viridiplantae; Streptophyta; Magnoliopsida; Malvales; Malvaceae. The record is from RNAcentral.
UCCACUUUUUUAUUUUUUCCUUUUUAUUUCCUCCUCAUUUACUCUAAUGUCGCAACACUUUUCUUCCCUCCUCCUCUAUUGGAUUUUCGUCGGACCGUCGCCGUGCCUCCACCGACUUUGGUGAUUCAUUUCUUUUUUUCACUAUUUUCCAAUCUCUACCAUUCUCUUUAGUAAACGAAAUGAUAUUUCUCCUAUUUUCAAUAGUUUU